This 735-nucleotide ribosomal RNA is filed under the name uncultured Fusobacterium sp. RNAcentral's name for it is "bacterial SSU rRNA". It matches the Rfam family "Bacterial small subunit ribosomal RNA", at positions 28 to 776 of the family's 1533-position model. Lineage: Bacteria; Fusobacteriati; Fusobacteriota; Fusobacteriia; Fusobacteriales; Fusobacteriaceae. The record is from RNAcentral.
GAUGAACGCUGACAGAAUGCUUAACACAUGCAAGUCAACUUGAAUUUGGGUUUUUAACUUAGAUUUGGGUGGCGGACGGGUGAGUAACGCGUAAAGAACUUGCCUCGCAGCUAGGGACAACAUUUAGAAAUGAAUGCUAAUACCUGAUAUUAUGAUUUUAAGGCAUCUUAGAAUUAUGAAAGCUAUAAGCACUGUGAGAGAGCUUUGCGUCCCAUUAGCUAGUUGGAGAGGUAACAGCUCACCAAGGCGAUGAUGGGUAGCCGGCCUGAGAGGGUGAACGGCCACAAGGGGACUGAGACACGGCCCUUACUCCUACGGGAGGCAGCAGUGGGGAAUAUUGGACAAUGGACCGAGAGUCUGAUCCAGCAAUUCUGUGUGCACGAUGAAGUUUUUCGGAAUGUAAAGUGCCUUCAGUUGGGAAGAAAGAAAUGACGGUACCAACAGAAGAAGUGACGGCUAAAUACGUGCCAGCAGCCGCGGUAAUACGUAUGUCACGAGCGUUAUCCGGAUUUAUUGGGCGUAAAGCGCGUCUAGGUGGUUAUGUAAGUCUGAUGUGAAAAUGCAGGGCUCAACUUUGUAUUGCGUUGGAAACUGUAUAACUAGAGUACUGAAGAGGUAAGCGGAACUACAGGUGUAGAGGUGAAAUUCGUAGAUAUUUGUAGGAAUGCCGAUGGGGAAGCCAGCUUACUGGACAGAUACUGACGCUAAAGCGCGAAAGCGUGGGUAGCAAACAGG